AUACGGAGGGUGCGAGCGUUGUUCGGAAUAAUUGGGCGUAAAGAGCAUGUAGGCGGUCUGUUAAGUCUGGUGUGAAAGCCCGGGGCUCAACCCCGGAAGUGCAUUGGAUACUGGCAGACUUGAGUAUGGGAGAGGAAAGCGGAAUUCCGAGUAUAGGAGUGAAAUCCGUAGAUAUUCGGAGGAACACCAGUGGCGAAGGAGGCUUUCUGGACCAAUACUGACGCUGAGAUGCGAAAGCGUGGGGAGCAAACAGGAUUAGAAACCCCGGUAGUCC
This 274-nucleotide ribosomal RNA is filed under the name uncultured bacterium. RNAcentral describes it as "partial 16S ribosomal RNA". It matches the Rfam family "Bacterial small subunit ribosomal RNA", at positions 523 to 796 of the family's 1533-position model. The record is from RNAcentral.